This 572-nucleotide ribosomal RNA is filed under the name Sarocladium oryzae. Its description in RNAcentral is "partial 28S ribosomal RNA". It matches the Rfam family "Eukaryotic large subunit ribosomal RNA", at positions 72 to 664 of the family's 3401-position model. Lineage: Eukaryota; Fungi; Ascomycota; Sordariomycetes; Hypocreales; Sarocladiaceae. The record is from RNAcentral.
AGAUUGCCUCAGUACGGCGAGUGAGCGGCAACAGCUCAAAUUUGAAAUCUGGCCGCAAGGUCCGAGUUGUAAUUUGCAGAGGAUGCUUUUGGCGAGGUGCCUUCCGAGUUCCCUGGAACGGGACGCCAUAGAGGGUGAGAGCCCCGUACGGUUGGACCACCGAGCCUCUGUAAAGCUCCUUCGACGAGUCGAGUAGUUUGGGAAUGCUGCUCUAAAUGGGAGGUGUACGUCUUCUAAAGCUAAAUACCGGCCAGAGACCGAUAGCGCACAAGUAGAGUGAUCGAAAGAUGAAAAGCACUUUGAAAAGAGGGUUAAAAAGUACGUGAAAUUGUUGAAAGGGAAGCGUUUAUGACCAGACUUGGGCUUGGUUGAACAUCCGGCGUUCUCGCCGGUGCACUCUGCCAGUCCAGGCCAGCAUCAGUUUGUCCCGGGGGAUAAAGGCGGUGGGAAUGUGGCUCCCCCGGGAGUGUUAUAGCCCGCCGUGCAAUGCCCUGGGACGGACUGAGGAACGCGCUUCGGCACGGAUGCUGGCGUAAUGGUCAUCAACGACCCGUCUUGAACCCACGGGACCA